Molecule: long non-coding RNA, 1507 nt
Filed under: Ananas comosus (pineapple)
Lineage: Eukaryota; Viridiplantae; Streptophyta; Magnoliopsida; Poales; Bromeliaceae
Description: long non-coding RNA (ACOM_LNC041795)
Source: RNAcentral
AUAUGAUUCAUUAAUAUUUCAUCAAUUAUUUGUAUAUUAACAUUUCAUCAAUUAAGGAUAAUUAUAAUCAUAAUUGAUUACUAGACCAAUUAUUCAUAUUCACUGUUUCAUUCUUUCAUUUUGUUAAUUUUUUUAUAAAAUUUUAAAAUAUAUUUACCUAAUAUGUAAAAUAAUUAGAUUUUAAAUUUAGACUCUCAGUAUCAAUCAUUACAAGAUUAAUUCUAUUUGAAUAUUCUCGCGCCGAUCCUCCUCUAUACAUAUCACCUUUGCAAUCUCCAUGCCACCGAUCCCAUCCGUGAGUAUUUUUUUUCAAAUAUAAUAUUUUUUUUAUAUAGAUUUGAGUGAUUUGGCGAGAAUUAGUAAUAUUUUGAGGUUAAUUAGAAUUUUUUUUGUUCAAUUUGAGCGAUUUGGUAUGAAUAGAUGACAUUUUGAAAUGCUAUAUGUUAUAGAAAUGCUAUAUGUUACUUGCACAAUUAUUGUUCGUACUACAUUACACAUUCCAGACUAAAUGAAUGAAUAAUCUAUAUUGUAUAUAUUAGUAUAUUUCUAUAUACUCUAAUUAGGAUUUAUUUAAAAUAAUUUUUUUUCCUGUUGCAUCGAUUGCUAUAUAAUUGACUAUAUUGUACCCUUUUGACAUAGUAAUAUUUUAUUUAGUUAUAUUAAUAUUUUAUUAUUUAAAAUUUUUUUACUUUAGCAGUAAUUAUCCACCGCAUCGCGCGGGUGCGUACACUAGUAUUUAUAUUAUUUUGAAUAGUAUUUUUUGUAUAGAUUAUAAGAAAUGGACAGGAUAGUGAUGGAACCCUGACGUAGGGAGAAUAAAUGGAAUAACUUGAAAUGUUGAGGGAGUGAAAUGUAGAUUUUUGAAAGUUAGAAAAAGUGAAAAAAUAGAUAUUUAUAAAGAAGAGUUUUCUGUAAUUUAGUCAAAACUUUUACUUAUUUAUAUUACUAUUCUAAAUUUUUAAAUUUAUUCUGAAAUUAUUAACAUGUCCUUUUAUAGUCCAUUUGAUUAGUAAAUCCUAGGUAAAAUAGGAGUAUCUAAAGAAUUUUUUUUAUUUUUGGAUUAAUUUUAUACUGCUCUUUGUAAACAUAUUGAAUAACAAAUAUAUUUCUACAAAGUUUAAUUUUUUAUAUUUAUUCCUGUAAAAAUUCAACAAUAUUCUUAUAAUAUUCAUAUUUGUUUCUCUGAUUUAUUAUUAUUAUAGCACUAUUUACUUUUUACCCGAAGAUAAGUGAAAUGACAUUUUUGUCAUCAUAUAUAUGUCCCUCCAAAAGCCCAAACUGUUAGAAUUUAUAGAAAUAUGCUCCCAAAAAUCUCUAACAGUCAUCUUCUUUCUUUUUAUCAUCACAAAUAAUAUAAAAAUGGUAAAAAUAUUAAUUUACCUCAUUUACUAAUUAGGGUAAAAUAUUCUACCAAUGGUUAAUUAUAUUUUUCUAACGGAUCCUAACAUCGGGAGUACAUUUGAAAAUGUUAGAACUUUUGUAAAGAUAAAUAUUAAAAGUUAAACUC